UCCUACGGGAGGCAGCAGUGGAGAAUCUUGCGCAAUGGGCGAAAGCCUGACGCAGCCACGCCGCGUGCGGGAAGAAGGCCUUCGGGUCGUAAACCGCUUUCAGGAGGGAAGAAGCGAAAGUGACGGUACCUCCAGAAGAAGCCCCGGCCAACUACGUGCCAGCAGCCGCGGUAAUACGGAGGAUCCAAGCGUUAUCCGGAAUUAUUGGGUUUAAAGGGUCCGCAGGCUGUCUGUUAAGUCAGAGGUGAAAGCCUACCGCUCAACGGUAGAACUGCCUUUGAUACUGUUAGACUUGAGUUAUUGUGAAGUAGUUAGAAUGUGUGGUGUAGCGGUGAAAUGCAUAGAUAUCACACAGAAUACCGAUUGCGAAGGCAGAUUACUAACAAUACACUGACGCUGAGGGACGAAAGCGUGGGUAGCGAACAGGAUUAGAUACCCUGGUAGUCCACGCCGUAAACGAUGGAUACUAGCUGUUCGACCAACAUGGGUUGGUUGAGUGGCUAAGCGAAAGUGAUAAGUAUCCCACCUGGGGAGUACGCUCGCAAGAGUGAAACUCAAAGGAAUUGACGGA
RNAcentral lists this ribosomal RNA (571 nucleotides) under uncultured bacterium. Its description in RNAcentral is "bacterial SSU rRNA". It matches the Rfam family "Bacterial small subunit ribosomal RNA", at positions 337 to 917 of the family's 1533-position model. The record is from RNAcentral.